RNAcentral lists this ribosomal RNA (465 nucleotides) under Vreelandella stevensii. RNAcentral's name for it is "partial 16S ribosomal RNA". It matches the Rfam family "Bacterial small subunit ribosomal RNA", at positions 338 to 795 of the family's 1533-position model. The record is from RNAcentral. Lineage: Bacteria; Pseudomonadati; Pseudomonadota; Gammaproteobacteria; Oceanospirillales; Halomonadaceae.
CCUACGGGGGGCUGCAGUGGGGAAUAUUGGACAAUGGGGGCAACCCUGAUCCAGCCAUGCCGCGUGUGUGAAGAAGGCCCUCGGGUUGUAAAGCACUUUCAGUGAGGAAGAACGCCUGGUGGUUAAUACCCAUCAGGAAAGACAUCACUCACAGAAGAAGCACCGGCUAACUCCGUGCCAGCAGCCGCGGUAAUACGGAGAGUGCGAGCGUUAAUCGGAAUUACUGGGCGUAAAGCGCGCGUAGGUGGCUUGAUAAGCCGGUUGUGAAAGCCCCGGGCUCAACCUGGGAACGGCAUCCGGAACUGUCAAGCUAGAGUGCAGGAGAGGAAGGUAGAAUUCCCGGUGUAGCGGUGAAAUGCGUAGAGAUCGGGAGGAAUACCAGUGGCGAAGGCGGCCUUCUGGACUGACACUGACACUGAGGUGCGAAAGCGUGGGUAGCAAACAGGAUUAGAUACCCUAGUAGUC